RNAcentral lists this ribosomal RNA (500 nucleotides) under uncultured bacterium. RNAcentral describes it as "bacterial SSU rRNA". It matches the Rfam family "Bacterial small subunit ribosomal RNA", at positions 8 to 526 of the family's 1533-position model. The record is from RNAcentral.
AGAGUUUGAUCCUGGCUCAGGACGAACGCUGGCGGCGUGCUUAACACAUGCAAGUCGAGCGGAAAGGCCCUUCGGGGUACUCGAGCGGCGAACGGGUGAGUAACACGUGAGCAACCUGCCCUAGGCUUUGGGAUAACCCCGGGAAACCGGGGCUAAUACCGAAUAUGACUUCUGGUCGCAUGACCGGUGGUGGAAAGUUUUUCGGCCUGGGAUGGGCUCGCGGCCUAUCAGCUUGUUGGUGGGGUGAUGGCCUACCAAGGCGACGACGGGUAGCCGGCCUGAGAGGGUGACCGGCCACACUGGGACUGAGAUACGGCCCAGACUCCUACGGGAGGCAGCAGUGGGGAAUAUUGCACAAUGGGCGGAAGCCUGAUGCAGCAACGCCGCGUGAGGGUUGACGGCCUUCGGGUUGUAAACCUCUUUUAGCAGGGAAGAAGCGUGAGUGACGGUACCUGCAGAAAAAGCGCCGGCUAACUACGUGCCAGCAGCCGCGGUAAUAC